RNAcentral lists this ribosomal RNA (1092 nucleotides) under Triticum aestivum (bread wheat). RNAcentral describes it as "partial small subunit ribosomal RNA". Lineage: Eukaryota; Viridiplantae; Streptophyta; Magnoliopsida; Poales; Poaceae. The record is from RNAcentral.
AUGGAGGAGAUCGGCCACCACUUCGGGCUGGGAGCCACCGCCCACGGCCAGCACCACAGCCAGCUCCCAUGGGGCUCUUCGCCGCUCAGCGCCGUCAUCGCGCCGCCCCCACAGCAACAGCAGCAGCAGCAGCAGUCCGCCGGCUAUCUGGCGCACAGCCCCCUCUCCCUGAACACGGCGCCGCCCAGUGGAAGCCACGGCGGCGGCAGCGGGUGUAGCAACCCGGUGCUGCAGCUGGCCAACGGCAGCCUCCUGGAGGCGUGCGCCAAGGCGGCCAAGGAGCCGUCGUCGUCGUCCUACGCCGCCGACGUCGAGGCCAUCAAGGCCAAGAUCAUCUCCCACCCCCACUACUCCUCCCUCCUCGCCGCCUACCUCGACUGCCAGAAGGUGGGGGCGCCGCCGGAGGUGUUGGCGAGAUUGACGGCGGUGGCGCAGGACCUGGAGCUGCGACAGCGCACGGCGCUCGGCAGCCUCGGCACCGCGACGGAGCCGGAGCUGGACCAGUUCAUGGAGGCGUACCAUGAGAUGCUGGUGAAGUACCGGGAGGAGCUGACGAGGCCGCUGCAGGAGGCCAUGGAGUUCCUGAGGAGGGUGGAGACGCAACUCAACUCCCUCUCCAUCUCCGGCAGAUCGCUGCGCAAUAUCCUUUCCUCCGGCUCAUCUGAGGAAGAUCAAGAAGGUAGCGGAGGAGAGACAGAGCUUCCUGAGAUUGAUGCCCACGGCGUGGACCAGGAGCUGAAGCACCAUCUCCUGAAGAAGUACAGUGGGUACCUGAGCUCCCUCAAGCAAGAGCUGUCAAAGAAGAAGAAGAAAGGAAAGCUCCCGAAGGAUGCUCGCCAGCAGCUCCUCAGCUGGUGGGAGAUGCACUACAAAUGGCCUUAUCCCUCGGAGAGCCAGAAGGUGGCGCUGGCCGAGUCGACGGGCCUGGACCUGAAGCAGAUCAACAACUGGUUCAUCAACCAGAGGAAGCGCCACUGGAAGCCGUCGGACGAGAUGCAGUUCGUCAUGAUGGACGCGUACCACCCCCCUAACGCCGCCUUCUACAUGGACGGCCACUUCGUCAACGACAGCGGGCUCUACAGGUUCGGCUAG